This is an RNA transcript of Bradysia coprophila, 1382 nucleotides long. RefSeq lists it as uncharacterized. NCBI's taxonomy places the organism in Eukaryota, Metazoa, Arthropoda, Insecta, Diptera, Sciaridae. The record is from RefSeq and is a predicted model, not a curated record.
UAUAUCAUUCAGAACGGAAGAGAGAUCAGCUGUCAUUGAUGUUGAAAUCGUUCAAUGAUUCAAUAACAGCUGAUCUCUUUUUUGUUUACAUUUUCAUUGGCAAACAAACUAGCAUCUUCUUCAUACGUUGUGUCGAAAAGCUUAUGAUUUCUUACUGAUCAUGGCAACAGCGAUAAAGAAUUUUUAUUUGGAAGAGUUUGUUCCAUCAUAUCAAAGUGCAAGUGGCAGAUUGAUUGACAUAUCGAAACUGGUUGAAGAAAAUAAAAACUGGACUCCCAUACCGUUACCCUACUCCAACAAAACUCAAUCGGUGAUGAACCUUAGUGCGGCGAUCAUCGUCAACAUUUGCAGAACUUAUCACAACACUACACUGUUACCGAAAAAAGCCUUCGAGCUAAUUACGGAACUAAUCACGGCAUCAACUGAUAACCCAGACGUCGUCGCAAAACAAAUAUUUUUAACACACAUUACAAAGAGAAUCAUGAAUGUUGAGGUCUUCAGCUUCCAUGUAGUACGAAAUAACUGCAUGAAAAUAAAAAAUGUUUUGUUCGACGACGAGCGAAAGUGGGUCGAGUUAGCUGAAAAAGUGAUGAGUCAUAGACAGAUAAACGGCAAGAUUGAUGAAUGUCUUGCAGAUUUCGGCCAACCCGUUCAUGAACUGACUGACAUAGAAUAUGAGCAGACUAAAGUCAAAGUGACGUUGGUUGAGUCUGCCGCUGCAAUGGUUCGUGGAUUUGCUGGUUUCCAUGAAAUUUUCAUUAACGCUGAUCACUUUCGCCAAAAAAUCGAUAACUUCAAGGGUGACACGCAUUUGUUACAGCUCGUAGCAAAAAUUGACAUAAUUUCCGUUGUUCUACACGAAUACGGUCAUAUAAAGAUUCGCCAAAGCAACGGAGACUUUAAUAUGCAUUCUCCCAUCGUGGGACAACUGAGCGGGCUACCUGCCAUAAAGCACGAGUUUGGCAUAUAUGCAGAAAAGAAGAUUUUCGGUCAGCAGAUAGACUGGUUUCUUUCGUAUGACAAUAUGGAUAUUCCGUUCGUAGAGAGUUUUGUGGGGGCAAUCGAAAACAAUAGUUCGCUUCCACUUGGUUUCGUUGAAGGGGUCGUACCACGGGACGGAGAUCCGUUUGUGAUCGGUGCAGACGUUCAGCAUCGAGAUUACAUUUGCUAAUAAUUGUCAUUUCGACAUAAAACAAACAUGAAAUUCGCUGCGAACACUAAACACUCCAUAUGAUUUUUCGUUAGUUUGUUAGUUUCAUUCCAUGACCUCGAAGCUUUUACACACUCCGGACCGUUGAUACCUUGCGAUGUGUUGCUAUUCCGACACUACGGUUUAUAUGACAUGGCUCAGUUGCGUUUCAAACCUGGCCAUAAAAUAAAUG